RNAcentral lists this long non-coding RNA (205 nucleotides) under Mustela putorius furo (domestic ferret). RNAcentral's name for it is "lncRNA (ENSMPUG00000028583.1)". Lineage: Eukaryota; Metazoa; Chordata; Mammalia; Carnivora; Mustelidae. The record is from RNAcentral.
GGCCACUAAAAAUAACUCAGCCCUGCUGUCUAAAUAGGUGUUUACCUUUAGCAGCCUUAGACACAUAUACCGCUGAUGUAUUCACACUGUGUUUGUUACCCUGAAUGUAAAUGGGCUAAAUGCCCCCAAUCAAAAGACACAGGCUACCAGAAUGGAUACAAAACAAGACCCAUCUCCUACAGACGCCUGGGUGGCUCAAUUGGUU